Molecule: long non-coding RNA, 1344 nt
Organism: Gavialis gangeticus (Gharial)
Lineage: Eukaryota; Metazoa; Chordata; Crocodylia; Gavialidae
Exons: 3
Source: RefSeq, a predicted model, not a curated record
AUAGCGGUUCUGGCCCUGGAAGCUGUGGCCAGAGCCACAGCCCCCACUGCCCUCCAGGGUCUGCAGGGACUCCGUGGCUGCUGACCUCUGCCUCUGUCUUGCAGGGUGAUGGGAGCGCUGACUACGAGGAGCUCUGGUGCCUCACAAUAGCCCCAGGCUCUGCGGGCCAGCAGAAGGAGCCCCCUUCUGACGGGCACCCACCCGCUGAUGGCCGUGCCAUGCCCGUGGGCACUGCUGCUGCCAUCCUCAAGCGCAUGCAGCUGCAGAAGCCCCAGAGAUGCCAGAAGUCACCACCCAGCAUGGAGGACGAGGGGGCCGAACUGUGCCUGGGUGAAGGGGAGCCGGCUCGGCGGGCCAUCCCACGCCUCUACCCCUCUAUUCGCCUGGCCAUGCGGGAGAUCCGCCGGCUCUCGUCCGGGCCCUCCGAUAGCACCUGGGCUGAGCUGUUGUCCAGCCCCCAGCACUGAGGGUGGCUGGGCCCUGGCAGGAGCAGCGAGGCAGACCCUGGUCAGCCCAUACUCCGGCAUUGCAGGGCUACAUGCCAGGUAGAGACACCAGGAAGAUGCAGCCUCUUCUGUGGGGAUGGGCCAGUGCCGUGCCUCUGAUCGAGCCAGGGAGAAGAGCUCUGCGGCCAGGCGGGCCUGCUGCCGUUGGGAUGCUGCGUGCAUCUGCAACCCAUUAGGGAGGAGGAGACGGCAAGAGCUGAAGGCCUGGGGCAGCCCUGGGGAGGGGAGAGAAUUUGUGCCCUGCCCCUCCCUGCAUGGGAUGUGCCCUCACAAUUAGAGCCUGCGUUGUCAGCCCCUGCCCUCCUUGUCCUGUCUGUGCCUCAUUGGGGCGGGUGUGGGACGAAGCAGGAUGACGUGCCCGUCUCCCAGCUGCACAGUGUCGCCUGAGGCAGGGGUCCGAGGGGCUGGGCAGCUCCCUCAUCUCCAGCUCCCGCGCACUUCACCUGCUGACGGUGACGAGAUUCUGUGGCUCAGCCGCUCUCUGCCCGUGGACACUGUGGGGUGGGGGCCUGGCCCUUGGGGCUGCCUGAGACCAGAGCCCACGCAGCAGCAGUGAUCGAUGGCUGGGGCCAAGGUUUGUGCUGGUGGCACCGUGGAGACCAUGUCCUGUUGCUGAGAGGGGCCAGGCUCUCUGCACACUGUUGUGGGGCUGGAGCCCACAGCCACAACCAAGCUGCUCUUCUGGUUCCUGGCAGGGCCAUGGCUGCCUGUGCAUACUCCGCUGCUCCUGCAAGCACUGCUGUUCCCUGUGGCCACCGUCCUGGCCUGUGGCUCUUGGGCCCUGGAGUGACCACUCUCAUCCCAGCUGCUAAGAGGCUGCUGGUCACUUUGUGGGGAA